Oncorhynchus tshawytscha (Chinook salmon) is the source of this 2098-nucleotide long non-coding RNA. The record is from Ensembl. Lineage: Eukaryota; Metazoa; Chordata; Actinopteri; Salmoniformes; Salmonidae.
GCACGGGGCAUGCUUCUUCACAAAAUUGGAUCUCAGGAGUGCGUACAAUCUGGUGCGUUUUCGGAAGGGUGAUGAGCGGAAGAUGGCUUUUAGCACCACCUCAGGUCAUUAUGAGUACCGCGUCAUGCUAUAUGGGUUGAUGAAUGCUCCAUCAGUCUUCCAAUCAUUUGUAGAUGAGAUCUUCAGGGACCUGCACGGGCAGUAGUGGUGUAUAUCGAUGAUAUUCUGAUAUCCUCCACUACACGCGCCGAGCAUGUGUCCCUGGUGCGCAGGGUGCUUGGUCGCCUGUUGGAGCAUGAUCUAUAUGUCAAGGCUGAGAAAUGCUUGUUCUUCCAACAAUCCAUCUCCUUCCUAGGGCAUCGGAUUUCCACUUCAGGAGUGGAAAUGGAGAGCGACUGCAUUGCAGCCGUGCGUAAUUGGCCGACUCCAACCACGGUAAAGGAGGUGCAGCGUUUUUUAGGGUUUGCCAAUUACUACCAGAGGUUUAUCCGGGGUUUUGGUCAGGUUGCUGCUCCCAUUACCUCACUGCUAAAGGGGGGUCCGGUGCGCUUGCAGUGGUCGGCUGAGGCGAACAGGGCUUUUGGACACCUGAAGACUCUGUUUACCUCGGUGCCUGUGUUGGCUCAUCCGGAUCCCUCUUUGCCAUUCAUAGUGAAGGUGGACGCAUCUGAAGCUGGGAUAGGAGCAGUGCUCUCUCAACGUUCGGGUACGCCACUGAAGCUUUGCCCCUGUGCUUUCUUUUCGAAGAAGCUCAGCCCGGCGGAGCGACACUAUGAUGUAGGUGACCGGGAGCUGUUAGCUGUCGUAAAAGCCUUGAAGCGUGGAGGCAUUGGCUUGAGGGGGCUAAACACCCUUUUCUCAGCUGGACUGACCACCGCAAUCUGGAGUACAUCCGGCAGGCGAAGAGACUGAAUCCUCGCCAGGCAAGGUGGACCAUGUUUUUACUUGUUUUGUGUUUACUCUUUCUUACAGACCAGGCUCCCAGAACGUUAAGGCAGACGCAUUGUCUCAGCUGUAUGAGACAGAGGAGCGGUCCAUGGAUCCUACUCCCAGCUUCGUGUUUGGUGCCAGUAGUGUGGGAGCUGGACGCGGACAUUGAGCGGGCGUCACGUGCAGAGCCCUCUCCUCCUGAGUAUCCAGCUGGUUGUCCUGUAUGUUCCGUCUGCUGUCCGCGACCGAUUGAUCUAUUGGGCUCACACGUCACCCUCCUCUGGUCAUCCUGGGAUAGGUCGGACGAUGCGCUGGCUUGAUGGGAGGUACUGGUGGCCCACUUUAGCUAAGGACGUGAGGAUUUAUGUUUCCUCCUGCUCGGUGUGCGCCCAGUGCAAGGCUCCUAGACACCUGCCCAGAGGUAAGCUACAACCUUUACCAGUUCCUCAACUGCCGUGGUCGCACCGGUCGGUGGAUUUUUUUUGACUUAUCUUCCACCUUCACAGGGUUACACCACAAUCCUGGUUGUUGUGGAUCGUUUUUUCUAAGUCCUGUCGUCUCCUCCCUUUGCCUGGUCUCCCUACGGCCUUACAAACUGCAGAGGCCCUGUUUACACACGUUUUCUGGCACUAUGGGGUGCCUGAGGAUAUAGUGUCUGAUCGGGGUCCCCAGUUCACAUCAAGGGUCUGGAAGGCGUUCAUGGAACAUCUGGGGAUCUCGGCCGGUGGUGGCUGGCCCGCUCCAGGAGGCUGAAGUACGUGAUGUUCCUCCGCCUCCUCUAGAUAUCGAGGGGGUCCCGGCGUACUCUGUUCGAUCCAUUUUGGAUUCGAGACGUCGGGUGAGGGGCCUUCAGUACCUCGUGGACUGGGAGGGGUACGGGCCGGAGGAGAGAUGCUGGGUUCCGGUGGAGGACGUGUUAAUCCUUCCAUGUUAAAAGAAUUCCACCGUCUCCAUCCGGAUUGCCCUGCACCUCGCCCUCCGGGUUGUCCCCGAGGCCAGUGUCGACGCGCGGCUGGGGGGGGUAGUGUCACGACUUCUGCCGAAGUCGUUAACCUCUCCUUGUUCGGGCGGUGCUCGGCGGUCGACGUCACCGCCCUUCUAGCCAUCAUUGAUCCAUUUUUCAUUUUCCAUUGGUUUUGUCUUCCCACACACCUGUUUUCAAUCCCAU